Long non-coding RNA from Anopheles gambiae (African malaria mosquito), 1473 nucleotides. RefSeq lists it as uncharacterized. The transcript is spliced from 2 exons. The record is from RefSeq and is a predicted model, not a curated record. NCBI's taxonomy places the organism in Eukaryota, Metazoa, Arthropoda, Insecta, Diptera, Culicidae.
AGUCUUGUGGAUAAGAGCAUGGAACGAUACAUUAUAUGACAUUGGAUCGUAUCUAGCUUCAUACACUUACUUUCUUAUUGAGAAGUCUUCUUCGAAGUUGGUUUUUAAACAUAAUUUAUGUCUGUGUAAUAAAAAGAUAAGUCGUCUUUUAUUACAUAGUAUAGUCAACUCCCUAUCAUUCGUAAAAAACGUAGCAAAAGUGUUGUAAAACUAUAUUUAACGUAUUUGUCGCGCUUGUUACACCUCUGACUGUGACAAACGUUCGUUCUCCACCCGCGCUCAGUGUGUGUGUGUGCACGCGUCGAUUAACUGAAAAGGUCUUUGCCUCACUGCCGCUCAACCACAUUAUGGAGUCACCCAAAGGCUUAGAACACACCCGUCGUAGCCGGCCCUCUCUAGUUGAAAGCUACUACAAUAUUUACACAAUUGCAUUACAGGCUUAGGGAGAGAGAGAGAGAGACACAGAUAUUUGUGGUUGGAGGAUGAAGGAAAGAGUCUAACGAACACCUAACGGGCGUGAUAGAUCGUCUAGCGGUGUGUUACAACACAGAAAUCCCUCCAGCAUGCACAGACAGCAGUAACCUGCUGGUAAUAUACAAACCUACACGGGUAACGUCAAGUAGGGGCGACGACGUGAUGAUACGAAGAUGAUAUCAUGUACAUACUGGGCAGAGUGUGUGUGAGUGUGUUUACUUUCGGCCCCGGAUUGUGCGGGAGUUUCGAGCGGCACCGGCAGCACUAAAGAGAGUGAAUGCACGAAGUACCUCCGUCCGUCCGUCGUUUGUGCGAUGAGUUGAUUGCUUGAGGCUAAAGGAAGGCCGCUACGCGCGGUAUGAUCGACGAAAAGUGUAAUUAUCGUAUGACAACAUCGUAUCAAACACCAGCCAGGUUAACGCGACGGGACGGUUCGGAUUCGUUGCGCGAUCAACCCAGGGGACCGACCAACGUGGCUGAAACGGCUGGUUCGGUUGGGUUCAUACGAGUGAACAUUCUUCAAAAAAUUAUAGCUAAUUAUACUCAUGAUGCGUCGUACCGUCGUUCAUCAUCUAUAUAAUAUGCUGAAAAAUUUCCAAUAAAUACACCAGCAUAUUUUUCUAUUUACCUUCAGGCAGUGAAUUACAUUAAACGUUAUUUUAAGAUCCCCCACCUUCGCUCCAAAAACUGUGAUAAGAGCACUGUGAUGAGAAGCAAUUAAAUUAAGGCAGUCAAGCGGGUACUAGGGAGAGAGUGAGCGAGAAAUUUCAUUAAUCCGCAUAGUUGCGUCAGAGAACGAUUUUGGGUAAAUUGAACACAUUUGAAUUGGAUAAUGGGGGAAAUGUGAUAAUAAGUAUAACACCUUUUUUCAAUUAAAUACGAAAGUAUUGGGAAGAAAAGGAAGGAAGUUAAGCCAAGAUAUUGCUAACUACUGAAGGAUGAAAUAUAUUAAAAAAUCAACAAUUAAGCAAUAAAAACUGAUCAAAUAUUGGUACAAAA